AAGAAAAUUGUGGAAGUUCCAGGCUAUGAGAAAUUUAGAGAAAGAGGGCUUCAAUUUCGGGCUGAAUUGACUCAACUCUUUGGGUCUGUAGCUACGGCUGG
This is a long non-coding RNA of Neltuma alba, 101 nucleotides long. RefSeq lists it as uncharacterized. The transcript has 3 exons. The record is from RefSeq and is a predicted model, not a curated record. NCBI's taxonomy places the organism in Eukaryota, Viridiplantae, Streptophyta, Magnoliopsida, Fabales, Fabaceae.